RNAcentral lists this small RNA (29 nucleotides) under Bombyx mori (domestic silkworm). RNAcentral describes it as "ovarian small RNA-2347". The record is from RNAcentral. Lineage: Eukaryota; Metazoa; Arthropoda; Insecta; Lepidoptera; Bombycidae.
UUCAACAAGGCAGCACAAGUUUCAACAUG